AUGGUGCAGCAACAACAACAAAUGAAGAAGAUUGGAUUAGCAUCCCCAGAAGACCUUAUUUUACAUGAAGGAGAUAACCCCAUAACAUCCAUUAGGCUGAAGUUGGAUCUUCCAGUAAUGCUUAUGAUAAAAAUCAACCAAAGUGCGGGACUUUGCAAUGGGACAAGACUAACAAUAACACAGUUAGGAAGGCAGUUCAUUGAAGGCCAGUUCAGACGAGGAGACGGACCCACUAAAGAUUACUUUAAACCAAGUCGUAAAGCCCGCAGAACAGCACUAACCGUGCAAGCUAGCUCUAGGACACCUUCCAUCUGCCGCUGGACGAGGAAACUCCGCUCGACGAUGCGAGCGUGGGAGUACAAUGCAGCUUCGACGGAGACGUCGUACCACACCACAAAGGGGAACGGCCGGAUGACCAGCGCCCCGACCGCCACUACAAUAGGAUUUGCGAGGGCACAUAUGCGGGCGUUAUCCAGGAGAGCCGCCGGCGUAACCGCUCUCAUGGCGCCGCUCAGACGGAGCGCAGUAGACUAG
RNAcentral lists this ribosomal RNA (534 nucleotides) under Triticum aestivum (bread wheat). RNAcentral's name for it is "partial small subunit ribosomal RNA". The record is from RNAcentral. Lineage: Eukaryota; Viridiplantae; Streptophyta; Magnoliopsida; Poales; Poaceae.